RNAcentral lists this ribosomal RNA (305 nucleotides) under uncultured bacterium. RNAcentral describes it as "bacterial SSU rRNA". It matches the Rfam family "Bacterial small subunit ribosomal RNA", at positions 335 to 637 of the family's 1533-position model. The record is from RNAcentral.
UAGCCUACGGGAGGCAGCAGUGAGGAAUAUUGGUCAAUGGGCGGAAGCCUGAACCAGCCAAGUCGCGUGAGGGAAUAAGGCCCUACGGGUCGUAAACCUCUUUUGCCGGGGAGCAAGGGCGGGGACGUGUCCCGGCCCGGAGAGUACCCGGAGAAAAAGCAUCGGCUAACUCCGUGCCAGCAGCCGCGGUAAUACGGAGGAUGCGAGCGUUAUCCGGAUUUAUUGGGUUUAAAGGGUGCGUAGGCGGUCCGUUAAGUCAGCGGUAAAAUUGCGGGGCUCAACCCCGUCGAGCCGUUGAAACUGGC